RNAcentral lists this ribosomal RNA (702 nucleotides) under uncultured fungus. RNAcentral's name for it is "eukaryotic LSU rRNA". The stretch from base 216 to 368 matches the Rfam family "5.8S ribosomal RNA". Lineage: Eukaryota; Fungi. The record is from RNAcentral.
UUGUCGUCAGUCUAAUAACUCUGUUAUACCCUUGUGGUGAAAAUAGGAUACUAGUGUGAUUGUGGUGGUUGGGGUCUCUCUUGUAGGGGGGCCAUGGACGCCACGAUCCUCUUCUUAACCAAAAACAUUAUCAUUACAUUAUUAAUCUAAAGUAACCUUGUGGAUGAGAUAUUCAUUUAUUAUAAUCACCAAGUAAAACAAUAAUAAUCUAAUACAACUGCUAGCAACGGAUCACUCGGCUCUCGCGUCGAUGAAGAACGUAGCGAACUGCGAAAAUUAAUGCGACCCGCAACACGUGAGUCAUCGAGUCUUUGAACGCAUAUUGCACCCGACAGGCUCGCUUGUCGGGUCUGCCUGUCUGAGUAUCAGUACGGACCCAAUCAACAAUGAAAGGCCAUUUAUUUGGUUAGACAUUGUUGUGUUGGUGCUCACUGGAGGUGUUUUAAUACAUGCCCCUGGUGGAUUUGAGUGUUCAGCUAUCAUUCUUUAGCUGGUCAUUUGAAAUGUAUUGGUGUCGUCUAGCUGACAGUCGCCGCGUAAGCAUUGUUAAUCAUCUUUAUUGAUGUUCCUUGCUAUCAAUACACGGGCCAACGACAAUAAGCAUCAUCAGCACGAUCCAAGCACAAACCUACCAAAUACUUGUAUUUAACCAUCUUGAUCUCAGAUCAGGCAGGAUGACCCGCUGAACUUAAGCAUAUCAAU